This 479-nucleotide ribosomal RNA is filed under the name uncultured bacterium. RNAcentral's name for it is "partial 16S ribosomal RNA". It matches the Rfam family "Bacterial small subunit ribosomal RNA", at positions 28 to 507 of the family's 1533-position model. The record is from RNAcentral.
GACGAACGCUGGCGGCGCGCUUAACACAUGCAAGUCGAGCGAUGAAAUUUCGACAUUUCCCUUCGGGGUGAAGAUGAAAUGGAUUAGCGGCGGACGGGUGCGUACCCCGUGAGUAACCUGCCUUUGACAUUGGUAUAGCCUCGGGCAACUGGGAUUACUACCAACUGACACUAACUGAUCACAUGAUCACUUAGUCAAAGAAAUUCGGUCCAAGAUGGACUCGCGGCUGAUUAGCUAGUUGGUGAGGUAACGGCCCAUCAAGGCGACGAUGGGUGGCCGGGCGGGGAGGGGGAUCGGCCACAUUGGAACUGAGACACAGUCCAAACUGCUACGGGAGGGAGGAGUGGGGAAUAUUGCAGGAGGGGGGAAAACGUGAUGCAGCGGCGCGGCGGGAGCGAAGAAGGCCGUCGGGUCGUAAAGCUCUUUUAGGAGAGAAGAUAAUGACGGUACCGGAAGAAAAAGCCCCGGCUAACUACGUG